Molecule: unclassified non-coding RNA, 306 nt
Organism: Ictidomys tridecemlineatus (thirteen-lined ground squirrel)
Lineage: Eukaryota; Metazoa; Chordata; Mammalia; Rodentia; Sciuridae
Gene: 7SK
Rfam family: 7SK RNA
About the family: 7SK was discovered as an abundant small nuclear RNA in the mid-70s but a possible function has only recently been suggested. Two independent studies have found that 7SK RNA binds the CDK9/cyclin T complex (known as elongation factor P-TEFb). P-TEFb activates transcription by phosphorylating the C-terminal domain of RNA polymerase II.
Source: Ensembl
GGGUGUGAGGCCAAUCUGUCAUCCCAUUGAUGGCCAUCCCAUUGAUGGCCAGGGUCAAUGGCCCUGCUGAAGUGGCUAGCUAGGCAGGUGAGUCUCCUUCCUCCCUCAUGGCUCCAUGUGCAUUUCUUCCAGAGCUUUGCAUUUGGUCAAAGAGGACAACCUUCCUGAUAGAGGAGGACAGUACACAAGCAGACGUGCUCCUCUGCUGGAACCCCCAUGCAGAAUCCGUGCAUGAGGAGGAGGAACUGCACGCGAAUCUACACGAACUCAUUUAUGUUUUUAAAAGAGGGAAAACUAAAAAUGAUG